UAGGGAAUCUUCCGCAAUGGGCGAAAGCCUGACGGAGCAACGCCGCGUGAGUGAUGAAGGUCUUCGGAUCGUAAAACUCUGUUAUUAGGGAAGAACAAAUGUGUAAGUAACUAUGCACGUCUUGACGGUACCUAAUCAGAAAGCCACGGCUAACUACGUGCCAGCAGCCGCGGUAAUACGUAGGUGGCAAGCGUUAUCCGGAAUUAUUGGGCGUAAAGCGCGCGUAGGCGGUUUUUUAAGUCUGAUGUGAAAGCCCACGGCUCAACCGUGGAGGGUCAUUGGAAACUGGAAAACUUGAGUGCAGAAGAGGAAAGUGGAAUUCCAUGUGUAGCAGUGAAAUGCGCAGAGAUAUGGAGGAACACCAGUGGCGAAGGCGACUUUCUGGUCUGUAACUGACGCUGAUGUGCGAAGGCGUGGGGAUCAAACAGG
Molecule: ribosomal RNA, 429 nt
Filed under: Actinomycetes bacterium
Lineage: Bacteria; Bacillati; Actinomycetota; Actinomycetes
Description: Actinobacteria bacterium partial 16S ribosomal RNA
Rfam family: Bacterial small subunit ribosomal RNA
Source: RNAcentral